RNAcentral lists this transfer RNA (75 nucleotides) under Amaricoccus macauensis. RNAcentral describes it as "tRNA-Gln". It matches the Rfam family "tRNA". Rfam says of the family: Transfer RNA (tRNA) molecules are approximately 80 nucleotides in length. Their secondary structure includes four short double-helical elements and three loops (D, anti-codon, and T loops). The record is from RNAcentral. Lineage: Bacteria; Pseudomonadati; Pseudomonadota; Alphaproteobacteria; Rhodobacterales; Paracoccaceae. RNAcentral also lists the same sequence under 17 other names.
UGGGGCGUCGCCAAGCGGUAAGGCAGCGGUUUUUGGUACCGCCAUUCGGAGGUUCGAAUCCUCCCGCCCCAGCCA